CAGCAGCCGCGGGAAUACGGAGGGUGCAAGCGUUAAUCGGAAUUACUGGGCGUAAAGCGCACGCAGGCGGUCUGACAAGUCAGAUGUGAAAUCCCCGGGCUUAACCUGGGAACUGCAUUUGAAACUGUCAGGCUGGAGUCUUGUAGAGGGGGGUAGAAUUCCAGGUGUAGCGGUGAAAUGCGUAGAGAUCUGGAGGAAUACCGGUGGCGAAGGCGGCCCCCUGGACAAAGACUGACGCUCAGGUGCGAAAGCGUGGGGAGCAAACAGGAUUAGAUACCCGCGUAGUCCCUGUCUCUUAUAU
RNAcentral lists this ribosomal RNA (301 nucleotides) under uncultured bacterium. RNAcentral describes it as "partial 16S ribosomal RNA". It matches the Rfam family "Bacterial small subunit ribosomal RNA", at positions 509 to 809 of the family's 1533-position model. The record is from RNAcentral.